AGAGUUUGAUCAUGGCUCAGGACGAACGCUGGCGGCGUGCUUAACACAUGCAAGUCGAGCGCCCGCAAGGGAGCGGCAGACGGGUGAGUAACGCGUGGGAACGUGCCCUUUGGUUCGGAAUAUUCCCGGGAAACUGGGAGCAAAACCGGAUAAGCCCUUCGGGGGAAAGUUUACGCCAAAGGAUCGGCCCGCGUUAGAUUAGGUAGUUGGUGGGGUAACGGCCUACCAAGCCUACGAUCUAUAGCUGAUCUGAGAGGAUGAUCAGCCACACUGGGACUGAGACACGGCCCAGACUCCUACGGGAGGCAGCAGUGGGGAAUCUUGGACAAUGGGCGCAAGCCUGAUCCAGCCAUGCCGCGUGGAUGACUGAAGGCCCUAGGGUUGUAAAGUCCUUUCGACGGGGACGAUAAUGACGGUACCCGUAGAAGAAGCCCCGGCUAACUUCGUGCCAGCAGCCGCGGUAAUACGAAGGGGGCUAGCGUUGUUCGGAUUUACUGGGCGUAAAGGGCGCGUAGGCGGAUUUUUAAGUCGGGGGUGAAAUCCCGGAGCUCAACUCCGGAACUGCCUUCGAUACUGAAAGUCUGGAGCACGGUAGAGGUGAGUGGAAUUCCGAGUGUAGAGGUGAAAUUCGUAGAUAUUCGGAGGAACACCAGUGGCGAAGGCGGCUCACUGGACCGUUGCUGACGCUGAGGCGCGAAAGCGUGGGGAGCAAACAGGAUUAGAUACCCCGGUAGUCC
RNAcentral lists this ribosomal RNA (737 nucleotides) under uncultured bacterium. RNAcentral describes it as "bacterial SSU rRNA". It matches the Rfam family "Bacterial small subunit ribosomal RNA", at positions 8 to 796 of the family's 1533-position model. The record is from RNAcentral.